AUUUGGCAAGGAUGCACGCGUGGCGCGGUUGAUAAGUAUACAUUGUUGAACGAGACUUGGAACAGGUGCCUGCCAUCAGUGAGCCAACUCAAUAAGGUUUAUUCCAUGUCAGAUGACAACACCGUUGACCUUGGGUCUUCAGAUUUUGAUAGAAAAUACUGUGCUUGAAGACAUCAAUAAAUAAUGUACAUGCCAACACAAACCUGCCAGUCAUCUUGCCAACCAAUCAGCCCACCAACCAGCCAGUCAUCUUGUCUACCAAUCAACCUACCAACCAGCCAUGUUAUCUCAUGGACCAAUCAGCCUACCAACCAGCCAGUCAUCUUGUCAGCCAAUCAGCCUACCAACCAGCCAGUCAUCUUUCAAGCUAGUCAUGCUUGAUAACCAGCAAGUAGAAAGGCAUCAGUUAUCCGUACCAAUCAUGCAGUGGAUUAGAACAGGUAAAUCCCCCACAAAAUGACAUGUUUUGUGGUACCUUUGACCCUUGUCAUCCUGAUCUGUCCAAGAAAACACCUUGAAUACAAAUACAACCAGCCAUUUCCUGCAAGGUAAACAGCUUGAUAAACAGCAACAUCCUUCAUUACCAUGACAACAGCUCUGCCUCAAGAGAGUUCAAGUCCAGCCGACCGUUUUCACCAGAAAUGUAAAAAAAGAUUCAUUUGUACAUUUGCAGAUUUUAAGGUGUCAAAAUAUCAUUGUUUAUCAUUGACCUUUCCUUAAAUUAAGGAGAUAUAUUUUGAAAAAUCUUUAGGUUAUUUUUUUUUAUUCAAAAACAUGUGUAUGGUUACAUGUUUGACCAGUAUCAAAAAGCAAAAACAGGAAGAUUUUUGAAAGUUUGUUCUGAAAGAGAACAUUUCAGAUUUAAGUGAUUUUGAAAGGUCAUUAUGGUGUUAACUUGGAUAUUUUUGUAGCCUUCGUGAGCUUUCCAAGUUUUUUACUCCAAGCGUUAGAACAGGAAAGUUGCCCAUCUUGAGAUGAUGACAGAGAAAAAAAAACAGCAAGGUAUAUAUGCACUCUUCCAACAUUUUGGAUCAUUUCUAAAUGUCAUUCUUUUGUCUAAUGAGUAUCCAAAUUUCCACCAGAGCAGUUGUUUUUUUUGUGAAAUGCUGAAUACAAAAUCUAGUCCCAUUGAUAGCAAAAACAAAAUAACCUCAUAAGGAAAGGAGUAAGAAAACUUGGAUAGGUUUUUAAGCUUUUGUUUUGCAAGCUCUGAUGUGUAAAUGUCUGUAAUGUCUUAUCUUCAAGCAAACUCAAAUCGUUAAUGCUCAUUGGUUGAUACCAU
This 1282-nucleotide long non-coding RNA is filed under the name Acanthaster planci (crown-of-thorns starfish). RNAcentral describes it as "uncharacterized LOC110990788, transcript variant X2". The record is from RNAcentral. Lineage: Eukaryota; Metazoa; Echinodermata; Asteroidea; Valvatida; Acanthasteridae.